GGAGUUAUGGUUCAGGUGGUAGAGUACCUCCCUAGCAAGCCUUAAGAACCUGAGUUCAAAUCUCAGUAUCUCCA
This 74-nucleotide transfer RNA is filed under the name Dipodomys ordii (Ord's kangaroo rat). It matches the Rfam family "tRNA". Rfam says of the family: Transfer RNA (tRNA) molecules are approximately 80 nucleotides in length. Lineage: Eukaryota; Metazoa; Chordata; Mammalia; Rodentia; Heteromyidae. The record is from Rfam by way of RNAcentral.